Non-coding RNA from Onthophagus taurus, 1947 nucleotides. Lineage: Eukaryota; Metazoa; Arthropoda; Insecta; Coleoptera; Scarabaeidae. The record is from RefSeq and is a predicted model, not a curated record.
GAUAACGGCGGUUAUCGACUGAAAUAUCGAUAUUAGAGAGAACCCGUUUAUUAUUUGAGAGAGAGAGAGUAGGAUAAAACUAGUUAGAACCGUUCUUUGAAAAUAACAAAUGGCCGAUGUCUUAAGUGGUCAUCAAACUCGUUAAAAAAAAAUAGAAUUAAAUAAAUGAACAUUAUUCAAGAACAACUAAUAAAUCUUUACACACAAGUUAUGUUAAAUAAUAAAAUAAAAUUAUCAUCCGACUCACUGUAUAAAGGAAAGGAUUGGAGUUCAAUGUGGUAUCUGGAUUAUGGAAUUGUCCCUUGUGUUCAGGGCACUAACUAAUUUUCUGGAUUGUCUACAGGAUUCUUCUUACGGGUAAUUGCACUGUUUGUUCUUCGGAAAUAGGGUCUUGGAUGAUCUCGAAGAAGUAUCGGUAAUUCUCGGAAUAGGUUGUAGGAUGAUUCUCUUUUUAUUUUAAUAUUACAUACAUUGGAGUACACGCCAAAUUUCAACAAUGAGUAAAGUUAGAAAAAUUCAAAUUUAAAUCAAGGAUUUCUUUCUCAAAAUAACGUUAAAACCUCAAAAGAUGGAUGAAAAAUGUGCUUUAGGAGCUGAACUAUAAUAAUUGAUACAUUUGGAAGUAAACAAAACGGUUUAAGAUAAGAUUUCACCAACAAAAAAUCUCUCUGUCACAAAUUCUAGGUUAUGUUCUCUCGGUGAACUAAGAGAAUGUUAAAAUUAUUACAGUAUAUACCCUUUGAUUUCAACUAAAAUUUAUUUGUGAUCAAAUCAAAACAUGAUCUGAAUAUUUUAUAACUUAAAAUAAUUAAUAAAGAUAAGAGAGAAGGAUGUCACCUCUAGUAUUCAACAUAUAUGUGCGUAGAACUUGAUGAGCAAACAACGCUGUACAACCUACAUUUUGCUGACGACCUUGUGGUAGUGUAGCCCUGGGCGAAGAAGACCUUGAAUAUAUGGCAAUAUGGGCUUGGUUAAGAAUGUAGCCAAAAAAACACAACAUCUUUGCGUGGCGAAGCAAAAGAUCUGGUGUUAAACGAUAAUACUUUAAUUGAAGGAUGCGAAGAGUGCACUUACCUUGGAACUAAGAUGGACCACAGUGGAAAAUGUGAAGCAGAAAUACGAACCCGACUACAACGGGGUAAAAACAUAACAAAACCCAUAAACUCCCUUUGUUGGUCAACAAAGAUCUCAAAAAAUGAAGAUAAGAACUAUAUUCCACUAUCUUCAUACCCGUACGGAUGCGAAACCUAGCAAUUAAAUAAACAAAUAGAGAACCGGCUGCUGGUAGUUGAAAUGGAUUUCUGGAGAAGAGCAACUAGCAAGGCUAAACUAGAUCCACAAACAACGAUAUUCGACGCAGUCCAAAUAAGACAGUUCUAAUGGUACGGCUUCAUUCGUUUCUAUAAAUCUCGGCGAUACGAUUUUUUUUAAUUAAAAUCUGUAAUAUAGAGGUUUUCUCAAGAACGAAUUAAGAUAUCUUAAUAAAAGAAAAACUAUUUUAAUGCAAAUUUAAUAAGCAUUCAAUGUGUUGAAUAUCAUUAAAUUAGUUCUAUAAGUUUUGACGUGGCGAUAUUUUAUAUUCAUCUCUGCAUAUCUACUUUUGACAGGCUCAAAAGAGAUACGAUGUUCUAAAUAAUAUUUUUAUCAACUUAACCUCAAUAAUCGCAACGUUAAUUUAAAAAAUCAUAUCUUCGAGAUUUAUAGGAACGAAAGAAUUAUCUUUGGUGCAUUGAAACUAGAUUAAAUUGGCUGUAAAAUGGUAAUAAAAUGAUCUUGAUAUCCCAAUUACUUUCAGAGAUAUCAUUCCUUUAAAAUUAGUAUUAACAAUCAUAGCCUGUCAAAAGUAGAUAUGCAGAGAUGAAUAUAAAAUACCGUCACGUCAAAACUUAUAGAAAUAAUUUAAUGAUAUUAUACACAUUGAAUGUUUAUUAAAUUUGCUUUGUUGUG